ACGAGGGGCUGCAAGAGCCCCUCACCCUGAGCUGGGAGCCAUCUUCCCAGCCCACCAUCCCCAUCAUGGGCAUCGUUGCUGGCCUGGCUGUCCUGGUUGUCCUAGCUGUCCUUGGAGCUGUGGUCACCGCUAUGAUGUGUAGGAGGAAGAGCUCAGGGCAUUUUCUUCCCACAGGUGGAAAAGGAGGGAGCUGCUCUCAGGCUGCGUGCAGCAACAGUGCCCAGGGCUCUGAUGAGUCUCUCAUCACUUGUAAAGCCUGAGACAGCUGCCUGUGUGGGACUGAGAUGCAGGAUUUCUUCACACCUCUCCUUUGUGACUUCAAGAGCCUCUGGCAUCUCUUUCUGCAAAGGCACCUGAAUGUGUCUGCGUUCCUGUUAGCAUAAUGUGAGGAGGUGGAGAGACAGCCCACCCCCGUGUCCACCGUGACCCCUGUCCCCACACUGACCUGUGUUCCCUCCCCGAUCAUCUUUCCUGUUCCAGAGAGGUGGGGCUGGAUGUCUCCAUCUCUGUCUCAAAUUCAUGGUGCACUGAGCUGCAACUUCUUACUUCCCUAAUGAAGUUAAGAACCUGAAUAUAAAUUUGUGUUCUCAAAUAUUUGCUAUGAAGCGUUGAUGGAUUAAUUAAAUAAGUCAAUUCCUAGAAGUUGAGAGAGCAAAUAAAGACCUGAGAACCUUC
Molecule: long non-coding RNA, 675 nt
Filed under: Homo sapiens (human)
Lineage: Eukaryota; Metazoa; Chordata; Mammalia; Primates; Hominidae
Description: HSALNT0104293
Source: RNAcentral